RNAcentral lists this unclassified non-coding RNA (536 nucleotides) under Hevea brasiliensis (rubber tree). Lineage: Eukaryota; Viridiplantae; Streptophyta; Magnoliopsida; Malpighiales; Euphorbiaceae. The record is from RNAcentral.
GGUAGGAAGAAGAUCAAGAAAACAAGUUAAACUCUUGAAAAGUAAACAAGUAUACAGGAACUUGACAUUCAUCGGGCCCUCCUCAGCUUUUUCUUGAGUCUUGCAAACCAGACUCUUGAUAUCAUAUCGAGCCAACUUGUCGUGUCCGUCAAGAAUUUGAAGUAGGCAUUCCUCCAAGAACUAUUGACAAUUAAACAGCCCAAAAUUCCCCAAAAUGCAACAAAAAAGCUUAGCACCAUUGAUAUAUAAAACUCCAGAGAUGGAAACUCCUCCUCCUCAUCAUGUUCUUGUGGAUUGUUGUUGCUGCCAUGAUCAAUAAGGGGGCUAGGAGGAGCAUAUCCAGGACACUCCUGAAGAGGAGGCCCACAGAGUUGAGCAUUAUCACUGUAGGAUGAUCUAUCAAAACUUUGCAGUUGAGUGCUUGAUGGAAUUCUCCCUGAUAACUGGUUGUUCGACAAGUCCAACACACUAAGAAAAGUCAAAUUAGCAAGAUCUUGCGGUAUCACACCAGAAAGCUGGUUUCUUGACAUGUCAAG